UCUGCAAAACGUUCUAUCGCUGUCUGCUUCGGCAGAGAGAGGAAAGUCCGGGCAACAUAGGGUAUCCUGCUUCCUAACGGGAAGGCGCCUUGGCGGGCGACAGCAAGUGCCACAGAAAAUAUACCGCCCCUAACCGGGUAAGGGUGAAAACGUGAGGUAAGAGCUCACGGCUUUUCCGGGCGACCGGAAUUGCGGUAAACCUCAGGAGUUGAAAGGCCAAAUAGGUUCCGGAUAUAGAAGCGGCCCGCUUCUGAUGCCGCAAGGCAUCGCCGGGAUGGGUAGGCUGCUUGAGCCUGUUAGCAAUAGCAGGUUUAGAUUAAUGAUAGAAAGCUGCCUUCGGGCGGACACAGAACCCGGCUUAUAGCUUUGCUGCCAUU
This 377-nucleotide RNase P RNA is filed under the name Sphingobacteriaceae bacterium. RNAcentral describes it as "RNase P RNA component class A". It matches the Rfam family "Bacterial RNase P class A". Rfam says of the family: Ribonuclease P (RNase P) is a ubiquitous endoribonuclease, found in archaea, bacteria and eukarya as well as chloroplasts and mitochondria. Its best characterised activity is the generation of mature 5'-ends of tRNAs by cleaving the 5'-leader elements of precursor-tRNAs. The record is from RNAcentral. Lineage: Bacteria; Pseudomonadati; Bacteroidota; Sphingobacteriia; Sphingobacteriales; Sphingobacteriaceae.